GUGAGGGGGCGGGGGCCUAUACAUGCAAGUCGAACGAACUCUGGUAUUGAUUGGUGCUUGCAUCAUGAUUUACAUUUGAGUGAGUGGCGAACUGGUGAGUAACACGUGGGAAACCUGCCCAGAAGCGGGGGAUAACACCUGGAAACAGAUGCUAAUACCGCAUAACAACUUGGACCGCAUGGUCCGAGUUUGAAAGAUGGCUUCGGCUAUCACUUUUGGAUGGUCCCGCGGCGUAUUAGCUAGAUGGUGGGGUAACGGCUCACCAUGGCAAUGAUACGUAGCCGACCUGAGAGGGUAAUCGGCCACAUUGGGACUGAGACACGGCCCAAACUCCUACGGGAGGCAGCAGUAGGGAAUCUUCCACAAUGGACGAAAGUCUGAUGGAGCAACGCCGCGUGAGUGAAGAAGGGUUUCGGCUCGUAAAACUCUGUUGUUAAAGAAGAACAUAUCUGAGAGUAACUGUUCAGGUAUUGACGGUAUUUAACCAGAAAGCCACGGCUAACUACGUGCCAGCAGCCGCGGUAAUACGUAGGUGGCAAGCGUUGUCCGGAUUUAUUGGGCGUAAAGCGAGCGCAGGCGGUUUUUUAAGUCUGAUGUGAAAGCCUUCGGCUCAACCGAAGAAGUGCAUCGGAAACUGGGAAACUUGAGUGCAGAAGAGGACAGUGGAACUCCAUGUGUAGCGGUGAAAUGCGUAGAUAUAUGGAAGAACACCAGUGGCGAAGGCGGCUGUCUGGUCUGUAACUGACGCUGAGGCUCGAAAGUAUGGGUAGCAAACAGGAUUAGAUACCCUGGUAGUCCAUACCGUACACGAUGAAUGCUAAGUGUUGGAGGGUUUCCGCCCUUCAGUGCUGCAGCUAACGCAUUAAGCAUUCCGCCUGGGGAGUACGGCCGCAAGGCUGAAACUCAAAGGAAUUGACGGGGGCCCCGCACAAGCGGUGGAGCAUGUGGUUUUAUUCGAAGCUACGCGAAAAACCUUACCAGGUCUUGACAUACUAUGCAAAUCUAAGAGAUUAGACGUUCCCUUCGGGGACAUGGAUACAGGUGGUGCAUGGUUGUCGUCAGCUCGUGUCGUGAGAUGUUGGGUUAAGUCCCGCAACGAGCGCAACCCUUAUUAUCAGUUGCCAGCAUUAAGUUGGGCACUCUGGUGAGACUGCCGGUGACAAACCGGAGGAAGGUGGGGAUGACGUCAAAUCAUCAUGCCCCUUAUGACCUGGGCUACACACGUGCUACAAUGGAUGGUACAACGAGUUGCGAACUCGCGAGAGUAAGCUAAUCUCUUAAAGCCAUUCUCAGUUCGGAUUGUAGGCUGCAACUCGCCUACAUGAAGUCGGAAUCGCUAGUAAUCGCGGAUCAGCAUGCCGCGGUGAAUACGUUCCCGGGCCUUGUACACACCGCCCGUCACACCAUGAGAGUUUGUAACACCCAAAGUCGGUGGGGUAACCUUUUAGGAACCAGCCGCCUAAGGGGACAGAU
RNAcentral lists this ribosomal RNA (1473 nucleotides) under Lactiplantibacillus plantarum. Its description in RNAcentral is "bacterial SSU rRNA". It matches the Rfam family "Bacterial small subunit ribosomal RNA". Lineage: Bacteria; Bacillati; Bacillota; Bacilli; Lactobacillales; Lactobacillaceae. The record is from RNAcentral.